Molecule: ribosomal RNA, 253 nt
Filed under: uncultured bacterium
Lineage: Bacteria
Description: partial 16S ribosomal RNA
Rfam family: Bacterial small subunit ribosomal RNA
Source: RNAcentral
UACGUAGGUGGCAAGCGUUGUCCGGAAUUAUUGGGCGUAAAGCGCGCGCAGGUGGUUCCUUAAGUCUGAUGUGAAAGCCCACGGCUCAACCGUGGAGGGUCAUUGGAAACUGGGGAACUUGAGUGCAGAAGAGGAAAGUGGAAUUCCAAGUGUAGCGGUGAAAUGCGUAGAGAUUUGGAGGAACACCAGUGGCGAAGGCGGCUUUCUGGUCUGUAACUGACACUGAGGCGCGAAAGCGUGGGGAGCAAACAGG